RNA transcript from Piliocolobus tephrosceles (Ugandan red Colobus), 3208 nucleotides. It is a transcript of the gene named nuclear VCP like, with no coding region annotated. The record is from RefSeq and is a predicted model, not a curated record. Lineage: Eukaryota; Metazoa; Chordata; Mammalia; Primates; Cercopithecidae. The transcript is spliced from 24 exons.
UUGAGCGCGUUCAAAGGGGUCCUAAUCUUCCAGGGCCCACUGGGCAGGCCUGCAAAAUAAGGGCCCUAGAAACUCCCUGAGGUUUGCAAGUCUUCUCCCGCUCCUCGGAAUUUUUCCCCCUCAUUCGCAUGACUUUUAUUCUGACGGAAACGGCGCGGGCUAGGCCCCAGGAGGGGCGCUUUUCAGGUGCAACUGGCCCGGCGAUCGCGGUGGGCAACCCCUACGAGGCCCCCGGUUGACUGGGAGCUGGCGGUCCGAGCUGUGGCUUGGAAGACUCACACGAUGAAGCCUAGAGCAGCCCGGUUCGUGGAUAAUAAACUCAAGCAACGAGUCAUCCAGUACCUUACCGGUAACAAAUGUGGCAAAUAUGUGGACAUUGGAGUCUUAGCAUCUGAUUUACAAAGAAUGUACAGUAUAGACUAUGGUCGAAGAAAAAGAAAUGCUUUUAGGAUUCAGGUAGAAAAAGUAUUUAGCAUAAUUAGUAGUGAGAAGGAACUUAAGAAUUUAACAGAAUUAGAAGAUAAACAUUUAGCAAAAAGAGCAAGACAAGGUGAAGAGGACAAUGAGUAUACUGAAAGCUAUUCUGAUGAUGAUUCAAGUAUGGAAGACUACCCAGAUCCACAGUCAGCAAAUCACAUGAACAGUUCCCUGCUGUCUUUGUAUCGAAAAGGAAAUCCUGAUUCUGUUUCAAAUACUCCUGAGAUGGAGCAAAGAGAAACCACCUCUUCAACACCACGGAUAAGUUCCAAAACAGACUCUUUUCCCUUGAAGACCCCUGCCAAAGAUUCUGAGGGAGGAUGGUUUAUUGACAAAACCCCAAGUGGAAAGAAGGACAGUUUUUUCUUGGACCUAUCAGAUGAGAAAAGUGAUCCUAAGAAGUCAAUAACUGAGAUACAGGGUUCAAAAGAUUCUUCUCUUUUGGAGAGUGAUAUGAAACGGAAAGGCAGGCUAAAGAAUAAAGGAAGCAAAAGGAAGAAAGAAGAUCUUCAGGAAGUAGAUGGAGAAAUUGAAGCUGUCCUGCAAAAGAAAGCUAAAGCCAGGGGGUUAGAAUUCCAGAUCUCCAACGUGAAGUUUGAAGAUGUGGGAGGCAAUGAUAUGACAUUAAAAGAGGUCUGCAAGAUGCUCAUACACAUGCGUCACCCGGAGGUGUACCACCACCUGGGCGUCGUGCCCCCUCGUGGAGUUCUCCUUCAUGGGCCACCAGGCUGUGGAAAGACUUUACUUGCACAUGCAAUUGCUGGGGAACUUGACCUGCCGAUUUUGAAAGUGGCUGCUCCAGAGAUUGUGUCUGGAGUAUCCGGAGAGUCUGAGCAGAAGCUGAGAGAACUAUUUGAGCAAGCUGUGUCAAAUGCACCAUGUAUCAUUUUCAUUGAUGAAAUUGAUGCUAUUACCCCUAAAAGAGAAGUUGCUUCAAAAGAUAUGGAACGAAGAAUUGUAGCCCAACUCCUAACCUGCAUGGAUGAUCUGAAUAAUGUGGCUGCUACAGCCCGGGUCCUAGUUAUUGGAGCUACUAAUCGACCAGACUCGUUAGACCCUGCUUUGAGACGUGCAGGAAGGUUCGACCGAGAAAUAUGCCUAGGUAUCCCAGGUGAAGCAUCCAGAGAAAGAAUACUUCAAACAUUGUGCAGAAAACUGAGGCUUCCUCAAGCUUUUGAUUUCUGUCACUUAGCACACCUAACUCCAGGCUUUGUUGGUGCUGAUCUGAUGGCACUGUGCCGAGAGGCAGCAAUGUGUGCAGUCAACAGAGUCUUAAUGAAGCUACAGGAACAGGAGAAGAAAGAUCCUGAAAUGGAAGAUUUGCCAUCUAAAGGAGUCCAGGAGGAAAGUCUGGGAACUGGGUCCACUUCUGAAACACAGGAUGAAUUACAGAGGCUGCUGGGGUUGCUAAGAGACCAAGAUCCCCUCUCAGAGGAGCAGAUGCAAGGCCUGUGCAUUGAACUGAAUGAUUUCAUUGUUGCUCUAUCCUCAGUCCAACCCUCUGCCAAAAGGGAAGGCUUUGUCACUGUCCCUAAUGUGACAUGGGCAGAUAUUGGUGCCCUGGAAGACAUUAGAGAGGAGCUCACCAUGGCAAUAUUGGCACCAGUACGCAACCCAGACCAGUUCAAAGCUCUUGGAUUGGUGACUCCAGCUGGGGUCCUCCUUGCUGGUCCUCCUGGCUGUGGGAAGACUCUGCUGGCAAAGGCUGUUGCAAAUGAGUCUGGACUAAAUUUUAUAUCUGUCAAGGGCCCUGAAUUACUAAACAUGUACGUUGGUGAGAGUGAACGUGCUGUGCGACAAGUUUUUCAACGAGCCAAGAACUCAGCACCCUGUGUGAUAUUCUUUGAUGAAGUGGAUGCUUUAUGUCCUCGAAGAUCAGACCGAGAGACAGGGGCAAGUGUCCGAGUGGUGAAUCAGCUACUUACAGAGAUGGAUGGUCUGGAAGCACGCCAGCAGGUUUUUAUUAUGGCAGCCACUAAUAGGCCAGAUAUAAUUGACCCUGCAAUCCUGCGCCCAGGCCGCCUGGACAAAACACUGUUUGUGGGUUUACCACCCCCUGCAGAUCGCCUUGCCAUCUUAAAAACUAUCACAAAAAAAAGUUCUGGAGCCGGAUGGGGUGAUACAACAAUGCGGAUGGAUUUAAUGCCACUGACCUGUACACUGAAAGAUGGUGGAAAUGAAUGGUACCAAACCACCACUGGAUGCAGAUGUAAAUUUGGAAGCAAUUGCUGGUGACCUUCGCUGUGAUUGCUAUACGGGCGCAGAUCUCUCUGCUUUGGUAAGAGAAGCUUCUAUCUGUGCCCUGAGACAGGAAAUGGCAAGACAGAAGAGUGGAAAUGAAAAAGGUGAACUCAAGAUUAGUCAUAAGCAUUUUGAAGAAGCUUUCAAGAAAGUAAGAUCAUCUAUAUCAAAAAAGGAUCAAAUCAUGUAUAAACAGUUUCAGGACUCCCUCAGCUGGUGACAUCUCCAGCAGCUGGCUUAGAGGAGCCCAUCAAGCUGACAGAGAAUCCCCUACACGCUCUGAAGGACCUGCUUUCAGCUGGACACAGGUGCGGCCUCAUGUAAAUAUGUUAUUUUCAAGUGAAUGAGGCCAAGCUGAAGCUGAAGAUGCUUCCCAUCUGGCCAGCCUUGUGUGAAAAUGCCUUCUUCCUCUUUAAGAAAAAGGAAAAUUUUUAAACUGCUGAAAUAAAAUGACUGUUACAUUUUUCAAAUAAAACUUUUAUUUGAGCUA